This 465-nucleotide ribosomal RNA is filed under the name uncultured bacterium. Its description in RNAcentral is "partial 16S ribosomal RNA". It matches the Rfam family "Bacterial small subunit ribosomal RNA", at positions 339 to 795 of the family's 1533-position model. The record is from RNAcentral.
CUACGGGAGGCAGCAGUGGGGAAUAUUGGACAAUGGGGGAAACCCUGAUCCAGCAAUGCCGCGUGUGUGAAGAAGGCCUGCGGGUUGUAAAGCACUUUCGGUUGGGAGGACUGCUUCUAGCACUAAUAUUGUUGGAAGUUGACGUUACCUUCAGAAGAAGCACCGGCUAACUCCGUGCCAGCAGCCGCGGUAAUACGGAGGGUGCAAGCGUUAAUCGGAAUUACUGGGCGUAAAGCGCGCGUAGGCGGCUAGAUCAGUCGGGUGUGAAAGCCCCGGGCUUAACCUGGGAACUGCAUCCGAUACUGUCUAGCUUGAGUACAGGAGAGGGGAGUGGAAUUCCACAUGUGGCGGUGAAAUGCGUAGAUAUGUGGAGGAACACCAAUGGCGAAGGCAGCUCUCUGGCCUGAUACUGACGCUGAGGUGCGAAGGCGUGGGGAGCAAACAGGAUUAGAUACCCUCGUAGUC